RNAcentral lists this ribosomal RNA (714 nucleotides) under Maxillaria rufescens. RNAcentral describes it as "eukaryotic LSU rRNA". The stretch from base 268 to 423 matches the Rfam family "5.8S ribosomal RNA". The record is from RNAcentral. Lineage: Eukaryota; Viridiplantae; Streptophyta; Magnoliopsida; Asparagales; Orchidaceae.
CGUAACAAGGUUUCCGUAGGUGAACCUGCGGAAGGAUCAUUGUCGAGACCGAAAUAUACACCGAGCGAUUCGAAGAACCCGUGAAAUGAGCCAACGGCCGUCCUGGCCGUCGCCCCCGUCUCCUCCUCGCGGGGUGGGUGGGUGCGUGGCUGAGGACGGAUGAAACACAAACCGGCGCAGCAUCGCGCCAAGGGAAAGAUUGAAAGGCACGAGCCCCCGUCGGGCUCGGUGGCGUGGGGUGCUAUUGCACGCCAUGCGGAUGGACACGACUCUCGGCAAUGGAUAUCUCGGCUCUCGCAUCGAUGAAGAGCGCAGCGAAAUGCGAUACGUGGUGCGAAUUGCAGAAUCCCGCGAACCAUCGAGUCUUUGAACGCAAGUUGCGCCCGAGGCCAGCCGGCCAAGGGCACGUCCGCCUGGGCGUCAAGCGUUGCGUCGCUCCGUGCCACCUUCGUCCCGCCAUUGGGCGUGUCGGUGGAGAGGCCCGGAUGUGCAGAGUGGCUCGUCGUGCCUGUCGGCGCGGCGGGCUGAAGAGCGGGUUUCGUCUCGCCGGUCGCGAACAACAAGGGGUGGGUGAAAGCUGUGAGCGCAGCCUGCGUUGUCUCGUGCCGGCCCGAGAGACGGGUUGUGCCUUCGAUGUGAUCCCGGCCCAUGCGCCGAUCGGCAUGCGGCGGCUUGGAAUGCGACCCCAGGAUGGGCGAGGCCACCCGCCGAGUU